AGCUUGCUCUUAUGAAGUUAGCGGCGGACGGGUGAGUAACACGUGGGUAACCUGCCCAUAAGACUGGGAUAACUCCGGGAAACCGGGGCUAAUACCGGAUAACAUUUUGAACCGCAUGGUUCGAAAUUGAAAGGCGGCUUCGGCUGUCACUUAUGGAUGGACCCGCGUCGCAUUAGCUAGUUGGUGAGGUAACGGCUCACCAAGGCAACGAUGCGUACCCGACCUGAGAGGGUGAUCGGCCACACUGGGACUGAGACACGGCCCAGACUCCUACGGGAGGCAGCAGUAGGGAAUCUUCCGCAAUGGACGAAAGUCUGACGGAGCAACGCCGCGUGAGUGAUGAAGGCUUUCGGGUCGUAAAACUCUGUUGUUAGGGAAGAACAAGUGCUAGUUGAAUAAGCUGGCACCUUGACGGUACCUAACCAGAAAGCCACGGCUAACUACGUGCCAGCAGCCGCGGUAAUACGUAGGUGGCAAGCGUUAUCCGGAAUUAUUGGGCGUAAAGCGCGCGCAGGUGGUUUCUUAAGUCUGAUGUGAAAGCCCACGGCUCACCCGUGGAGGGUCAUUGGAAACUGGGAGACUUGAGUGCAGAAGAGGAAAGUGGAAUUCCAUGUGUAGCGGUGAAAUGCGUAGAGAUAUGGAGGAACACCAGUGGCGAAGGCGACUUUCUGGUCUGUAACUGACACUGAGGCGCGAAAGCGUGGGGAGCAACAGGAUUAGAUACCCUGGUA
This 731-nucleotide ribosomal RNA is filed under the name Bacillus tropicus. Its description in RNAcentral is "bacterial SSU rRNA". It matches the Rfam family "Bacterial small subunit ribosomal RNA", at positions 77 to 792 of the family's 1533-position model. The record is from RNAcentral. Lineage: Bacteria; Bacillati; Bacillota; Bacilli; Caryophanales; Bacillaceae.